RNAcentral lists this ribosomal RNA (512 nucleotides) under uncultured bacterium. RNAcentral's name for it is "partial 16S ribosomal RNA". It matches the Rfam family "Bacterial small subunit ribosomal RNA", at positions 28 to 523 of the family's 1533-position model. The record is from RNAcentral.
GACGAACGCUGGCGGCGUGCCUAAUACAUGCAAGUCGAGCGAAUCUCAGGGAGCUUGCUCCCAAAGGUUAGCGGCGGACGGGUGAGUAACACGUGGGCAACCUGCCUAUAAGACUGGGAUAACUUCGGGAAACCGGAGCUAAUACCGGGUAAUACUUUUCUACUCAUGUAGGGAAGCUGAAAGACGGUUUCGGCUGUCACUUAUAGAUGGGCCCGCGGCGCAUUAGCUAGUUGGUGAGGUAACGGCUCACCAAGGCGGCGGUGCGUAGCCGACCUGAGAGGUUGACCGGCCACACUGGGACUGAGACACGGCCCAGACUCCUACGGGAGGCAGCAGUAGGGAAUCUUCCGCAAUGGACGAAAGUCUGACGGAGCAACGCCGCGUGGGUGAAGAAGGUUUUCGGCUCGUAAAACUCUGUUGUUAGGGAAGAACAAGUACCAGAGUAACUGCUGGUACCUUGACGGUACCUAACCAGAAAGCCACGGCUAACUACGUGCCAGCCGCCGCAGUAA